Molecule: ribosomal RNA, 497 nt
Filed under: uncultured Glomeromycotina
Lineage: Eukaryota; Fungi; Glomeromycota
Description: partial small subunit ribosomal RNA
Rfam family: Eukaryotic small subunit ribosomal RNA
Source: RNAcentral
CCAAUAGCGUAUAUUAAAGUUGUUGCAGUUAAAAAGCUCGUAGUUGAAUUUCAGGCCUGGCUGGACGGUCCGCCCUUCGGGUGAGUACUGUCUGUGGUCGGGUCCUACCUUCUGGCGAAGCGUCAUGGCCUUAACCGGCCGUGGCGGGGAACCAGGACUUGUACUGUGAAAAAAUUAGAGGGUUCAAAGCAGGCAAACGCUGGGAUACAUAAGCAUGGAAAAAUGGAAUAGGACAAUGGUUCUAUUUGUUGGUUUCUAGGACCGUUGUAAUGAUUAAUAGGGAUAGUUGGGGGCAUUAGUAUUCAAUUGUCAGAGGUGAAAUUCUUGGAUUUAUUGAAGACUAACUACUGCGAAAGCAUUUGCCAAGGAUGUUUUCAUUAAUCAAGAACGAAAGUUAGGGGAUCGAAGACGAUCAGAUACCGUCGUAGUCUUAACCAUAAACUAUGCCGACUAGGAAUCGGGCGAUGUUAAAAAAAUGACGCGCUCGGCACCUCAUG